Molecule: long non-coding RNA, 320 nt
Organism: Conger conger (European conger)
Lineage: Eukaryota; Metazoa; Chordata; Actinopteri; Anguilliformes; Congridae
Exons: 3
Source: RefSeq, a predicted model, not a curated record
ACUCAGUGCAGGGAUGCAGAAGAACAGCCCACCUGCACGGGAGCGGACUGUCGUAGCAAACUGCCACUGCAGGGUUCCUCUUCCUAUCAGUGCUGCCCUGGCAGAUGGGCGUGCGAUAAGGGGUCCUGGACCCACAGGUCAGACCCCCGCGGAGCACAUGAAGAGGCCGGACUGCUCAGACUGCAGCCUGCACCACAUGCUUAAUCAACCAUGAACCAUGACGCAGAUGGGGAAAAUGCCUCCUUUUAACUAGGCUAGUUGUUCACAUUCCAUGAGGUUAUAUAAUUGCCAUGUCCCUAGAGGAGCCAAGAGCCUUUGGA